GGAGAUGUAGCUCAGUGGUAGAGCACUUGUCUAGAAAGUGCAAGUUCCCGAGUUCCAUCCCCA
RNAcentral lists this transfer RNA (63 nucleotides) under Ictidomys tridecemlineatus (thirteen-lined ground squirrel). RNAcentral's name for it is "Spermophilus tridecemlineatus (thirteen-lined ground squirrel) tRNA". It matches the Rfam family "tRNA". Rfam says of the family: Transfer RNA (tRNA) molecules are approximately 80 nucleotides in length. Their secondary structure includes four short double-helical elements and three loops (D, anti-codon, and T loops). The record is from Rfam by way of RNAcentral. Lineage: Eukaryota; Metazoa; Chordata; Mammalia; Rodentia; Sciuridae.